CCUACGGGGCGCAGCAGUGGGGGAUAUUGCACAAUGGGGGGAACCCUGAUGCAGCGACGCCGCGUGGGUGAAGGAGUAUUUCGGUAUGUAAAGCCCUAUCGGCAGGGAAGAAAUUGGACGGUACCUGACUAAGAAGCCCCGGCUAACUACGUGCCAGCAGCCGCGGUAAUACGUAGGGGGCAAGCGUUAUCCGGAUUCACUGGGUGUAAAGGGAGCGUAGACGGCCAGGCAAGCCUGGAGUGAAAGCCCGGGGCCCAACCCCGGGACUGCUCUGGAAACUGUGAAGCUGGAGUGCAGGAGAGGUAAGCGGAAUUCCUGGUGUAGCGGUGAAAUGCGUAGAUAUCAGGAGGAACACCGGCGGCGAAGGCGGCUUACUGGACUGUAACUGACGUUGAGGCUCGAAGGCGUGGGGAGCAAACAGGAUUAGAUACCCCUGUAGUC
This 441-nucleotide ribosomal RNA is filed under the name uncultured bacterium. RNAcentral describes it as "partial 16S ribosomal RNA". It matches the Rfam family "Bacterial small subunit ribosomal RNA", at positions 338 to 795 of the family's 1533-position model. The record is from RNAcentral.